GAUGAACGCUGGCGGCGUGCCUAAUACAUGCAAGUCGAGCGAACAGACGAGGAGCUUGCUCCUCUGACGUUAGCGGCGGACGGGUGAGUAACACGUGGAUAACCUACCUAUAAGACUGGGAUAACUUCGGGAAACCGGAGCUAAUACCGGAUAAUAUAUUGAACCGCAUGGUUCAAUAGUGAAAGACGGUUUUGCUGUCACUUAUAGAUGGAUCCGCGCCGCAUUAGCUAGUUGGUAAGGUAACGGCUUACCAAGGCAACGAUGCGUAGCCGACCUGAGAGGGUGAUCGGCCACACUGGAACUGAGACACGGUCCAGACUCCUACGGGAGGCCGCCGUAGGGAAUCUUCCGGCAUGGGCGGAAGCCUGACGGAGCAAAGCCGCGUGAGUGAUGAAGGUCUUCCGAUCGUAAAACUCUUUUAUUAGGGAAGAACAAAUGUGUAAGUAACUAUGCACGUCUUGACGGUACCUAAUCAGAAAGCCACGGCUAACUACGUG
RNAcentral lists this ribosomal RNA (497 nucleotides) under uncultured bacterium. Its description in RNAcentral is "partial 16S ribosomal RNA". It matches the Rfam family "Bacterial small subunit ribosomal RNA", at positions 28 to 507 of the family's 1533-position model. The record is from RNAcentral.